This 525-nucleotide ribosomal RNA is filed under the name Entomobryinae gen. sp. 2 YHD-2016. Its description in RNAcentral is "partial 16S ribosomal RNA". It matches the Rfam family "Bacterial large subunit ribosomal RNA", at positions 1797 to 2620 of the family's 2925-position model. The record is from RNAcentral. Lineage: Eukaryota; Metazoa; Arthropoda; Collembola; Entomobryomorpha; Entomobryidae.
CGACUGUUUUAACAAAAACAUUUCUUUUGGUGUUAAUAAAAAGUAAAGUCUGCCCACUGAUUUAAUUAAUGAAGGGCCGCGGUAUUUUGACCGUGCUAAGGUAGCAUAAUCAUUAGUCUCUUAAUUAGGGAAUGGAAUGAAUGGCUUAACUUAGAGGAAUUUUAUUAUUAGAAUUGGGUGAAUUUUAAUUUUAUGUGAAAAUUUUUAAAUAGAACAAAAAGACGAUAAGACCCUAUAGAGCUUAAUUCUAAUUAAUUAACAACUUCUUGGGGGAAGAAGUUGUUAAUUAAUUAGAAUUUAGUUGGGGCAAUUUUAGAAUAAAUAUAACUUCUAAUUAGUUUGAAGUCUUAAAUUUUAAGGUUAAAAAAGUUACCUUAGGGAUAACAGCGUUAUAAUUUUUGAGAGUUCAUAUCGACGAAAUUGUUUGCGACCUCGAUGUUGAAUUAAAAAUUCUAUAUAGGGCAGGUUUUAUAUAAGAUAGUCUGUUCGACUAUUAAAUUUUUACAUGAUUUGAUUCAGACCGGA